Molecule: unclassified non-coding RNA, 375 nt
Filed under: fungal sp.
Lineage: Eukaryota; Fungi
Description: partial internal transcribed spacer region
Rfam family: Eukaryotic small subunit ribosomal RNA (bases 1-46)
Source: RNAcentral
AAGUCGUAACAAGGUAACCGUAGGUGAACCUGCGGUUGGAUCAUUACAAAAAAAAAAGUUGUUAUGUUUUUUUGGUUUUUUUGGCGUUAACGCGUUAAAUACAAAAAAAUAUAACUAACCAACCCCCCCCCGUGAACGUAAAUAUGUACUUUUGGCAGCCCUCCAAAAAAACCUUUUUUUUUUUACUAAGAAAGGCUUGGGCUGCCAAACACUCGCUCAAAAAACUUGUUUUUUUUUGACGGGUAAAUUUGACCACACCAAUGUUAUUUUUAUAUAUCUUAAUCGUCUCCUUUUUUUUUGUUUUCAGAAAUGAAAAGAAAAGAAAAAAACAAAUAUAAUAAACAACAACUUUUGACAACGGAUCUCUUGGCUCUC